UAUAUAUAUAUAUAAAUAUAUAUAUAUAUAUAUAUAUAUAUAUAUAUAUAUUAAUUGGGGUAGCCCCCAAAAUAUUGGGACAUAUAAAAAAGACAACUCUGUUGAACCGCGGGCAAAUCGCACAUCCCCGUGGCUGUGACUUUGCAUGCGGAUGUCAUCCAUAUCAACUUUCGAUGCCAGUUUCUGCACCUACCAUGGUGACCACGGGUAACAGGAAAUCAGGGUUCGAUUCCGGAGAGGGAGCCUGAGAAAUGGCUACCACAUGCAAGGAAGGCAGCAGGCGCGCAAAUGACCCACUCACGACGCGGGAAGGUAGUGACGACAAAUAACAAUACAGGACCUUUUAGAGGCCCUGUAAUUGUAAUUAGUCCACUUGAAAUCCUUUAACUCUGAUGAAAUGGAGGGCAAAUCUGGUGCAGAGCGACUGACCCAUGCGUGCCGCAGCUGAAACUCCACUA
This is a non-coding RNA of Pelobates cultripes (western spadefoot toad), 458 nucleotides long. Lineage: Eukaryota; Metazoa; Chordata; Amphibia; Anura; Pelobatidae. The record is from the annotation of a GenBank genome assembly.